UUUCAAUAGCAAAUUUUUGCAGAUCCAUUUUUUUGUAGAACAUCAGUCUUUCUUCAAACAAAAAAAUUAAAUUCAUCCUUAGCACAAGACUUACUCAAACAUGAUUCUAAAGCAUAAUUUCUUCCAGCUCUCUUCUUUCAACAACCAUUAAUCGAUUUGCAAUUCAAAAUUUCAGGGAGAGUUUUUCUCAAAAAUAUAUGAUGUUGGUGACGAAUUGACAAAUGCACUGGAGGAAUGUGAUUUUUUAUCAAAGAUGAUCCAGAAGAUCCAAGCAUGAAAGAUGUAUCUGUUUUUGUCUAAUUCUAUACAGUAUGUAAAUGUAUAUAAUUAGUAUUCCCACAUAUGAAAAUGUUAAACUAAGUAAGUAUCUCACUUCGACAUUCAGUAGUAUGACAUUCACAUGAAAAUAUAUUAUGAACAAAUUUGGCAGCUAUAAUGUGUUCGAA
Molecule: long non-coding RNA, 446 nt
Organism: Solanum lycopersicum (tomato)
Lineage: Eukaryota; Viridiplantae; Streptophyta; Magnoliopsida; Solanales; Solanaceae
Source: RefSeq, a predicted model, not a curated record